Molecule: unclassified non-coding RNA, 221 nt
Filed under: Melitaea cinxia (Glanville fritillary)
Lineage: Eukaryota; Metazoa; Arthropoda; Insecta; Lepidoptera; Nymphalidae
Description: misc RNA ENSMCXG00005016997.1
Source: RNAcentral
GCUUCUUUCGAGGAUGGCUCUGUCGACGUCGCUGGAAGCAAAUCGUUGAGCAAUACAUCAAGAGCCCGCACGCUGAAAGUAUGAGGAAGAGAAACAGUCUUGUUUUCAAAAUGGUCGAAGCUGAAGAGGAGUACUUGGAACAAAUGGAGAUAUUGGUGACGUGUUUUCUGCGACCCUUCAAAAUGGCAGCCAGCUCCAAGAAACCACCUUGCACUCAUGAA